GGCUGCACGGUUAGGUAUCAGGCUUUCCCCCGAACCCUGGUGGUAUGAAGGUUCGACUCCUUCACGGCCCA
Molecule: transfer RNA, 71 nt
Filed under: Arthrobacter sp. ISL-72
Lineage: Bacteria; Bacillati; Actinomycetota; Actinomycetes; Micrococcales; Micrococcaceae
Also listed under: 1 other name
Description: tRNA-OTHER
Source: RNAcentral